AUCCAGUUGACGAGUCCGAAGUAGGACGAAGCGCGCGUCCUGGAU
Molecule: non-coding RNA, 45 nt
Filed under: Schistosoma mansoni
Lineage: Eukaryota; Metazoa; Platyhelminthes; Trematoda; Strigeidida; Schistosomatidae
Source: RNAcentral